This 813-nucleotide ribosomal RNA is filed under the name Chaetomium globosum. RNAcentral describes it as "LSU rRNA". It matches the Rfam family "Eukaryotic large subunit ribosomal RNA", at positions 78 to 924 of the family's 3401-position model. Lineage: Eukaryota; Fungi; Ascomycota; Sordariomycetes; Sordariales; Chaetomiaceae. The record is from RNAcentral.
CCCUAGUAACGGCGAGUGAAGCGGCAACAGCUCAAAUUUGAAAUCUGGCUUCGGCCCGAGUUGUAAUUUGCAGAGGAAGCUUUAGGCGCGGCACUUUCUGAGUCCCCUGGAACGGGGCGCCAUAGAGGGUGAGAGCCCCGUAUAGUUAGAUGCCUAGCCUGUGUAAAGCUCCUUCGACGAGUCGAGUAGUUUGGGAAUGCUGCUCAAAAUGGGAGGUAAAUUUCUUCUAAAGCUAAAUACCGGCCAGAGACCGAUAGCGCACAAGUAGAGUGAUCGAAAGAUGAAAAGCACUUUGAAAAGAGGGUUAAAUAGCACGUGAAAUUGUUGAAAGGGAAGCGCUUGUGACCAGACUUGCGCCGGGCAGAUCAUCCGGUGUUCUCACCGGUGCACUCUGCCCGGCUCAGGCCAGCAUCGGUUCUCGCGGGGGGAUAAAGGCCCUGGGAACGUAGCUCCUCCGGGAGUGUUAUAGCCCGGGGCGUAAUGCCCUCGCGGGGACCGAGGUUCGCGCAUCUGCAAGGAUGCUGGCGUAAUGGUCAUCAGCGACCCGUCUUGAAACACGGACCAAGGAGUCAAGGUUUUGCGCGAGUGUUUGGGUGUAAAACCCGCACGCGUAAUGAAAGUGAACGUAGGUGAGAGCUUCGGCGCAUCAUCGACCGAUCCUGAUGUUUUCGGAUGGAUUUGAGUAGGAGCGUUAAGCCUUGGACCCGAAAGAUGGUGAACUAUGCUUGGAUAGGGUGAAGCCAGAGGAAACUCUGGUGGAGGCUCGCAGCGGUUCUGACGUGCAAAUCGAUCGUCAAAUCUGAGCAUGGGGGC